RNAcentral lists this ribosomal RNA (450 nucleotides) under uncultured bacterium. Its description in RNAcentral is "bacterial SSU rRNA". It matches the Rfam family "Bacterial small subunit ribosomal RNA", at positions 354 to 796 of the family's 1533-position model. The record is from RNAcentral.
GUGGGGAAUUUUGGACAAUGGGGGCAACCCUGAUCCAGCCAUGCCGCGUGCGGGAAGAAGGCCUUCGGGUUGUAAACCGCUUUUGUCAGGGAAGAAAUCCUUUGGGUUAAUACCUCGGAGGGAUGACGGUACCUGAAGAAUAAGCACCGGCUAACUACGUGCCAGCAGCCGCGGUAAUACGUAGGGUGCGAGCGUUAAUCGGAAUUACUGGGCGUAAAGCGUGCGCAGGCGGUUUUGUAAGAUCGAUGUGAAAUCCCCGGGCUCAACCUGGGAACUGCAUUGGUGACUGCAAGGCUGGAGUGCGGCAGAGGGGGAUGGAAUUCCGCGUGUAGCAGUGAAAUGCGUAGAUAUGCGGAGGAACACCGAUGGUGAAGGCAAUCCCCUGGGCCUGCACUGACGCUCAUGCACGAAAGCGUGGGGAGCAAACAGGAUUAGAUACCCUGGUAGUCC